RNAcentral lists this ribosomal RNA (467 nucleotides) under uncultured bacterium. RNAcentral's name for it is "partial 16S ribosomal RNA". It matches the Rfam family "Bacterial small subunit ribosomal RNA", at positions 28 to 506 of the family's 1533-position model. The record is from RNAcentral.
GACGAACGCUGGCGGCGUGCUUAACACAUGCAAGUCGAACGGAAAGGCCCUGCUUUUGUGGGGUGCUCGAGUGGCGAACGGGUGAGUAACACGUGAGUAACCUGCCCUUGACUUUGGGAUAACUUCAGGAAACUGGGGCUAAUACCGGAUAGGAGCUCCUGCUGCAUGGUGGGGGUUGGAAAGUUUCGGCGGUUGGGGAUGGACUCGCGGCUUAUCAGCUUGUUGGUGGGGUAGUGGCUUACCAAGGCUUUGACGGGUAGCCGGCCUGAGAGGGUGACCGGCCACAUUGGGACUGAGAUACGGCCCAGACUCCUACGGGAGGCAGCAGUGGGGAAUAUUGCACAAUGGGCGGAAGCCUGAUGCAGCAACGCCGCGUGCGGGAUGACGGCCUUCGGGUUGUAAACCGCUUUCGCCUGUGAGGAAGCGUGAGUGACGGUAAUGGGUAAAGAAGCACCGGCUAACUACGU